GUCCGGGUGGCGGAACGGCAGACGCGCUGGCUUGAGGUGCCAGUAUCCUUUACCGGAUGUGAGGGUUCAAAUCCCUUCUCGGACA
RNAcentral lists this transfer RNA (85 nucleotides) under Actinomycetota bacterium. RNAcentral describes it as "Actinobacteria bacterium tRNA-Leu". It matches the Rfam family "tRNA". Rfam says of the family: Transfer RNA (tRNA) molecules are approximately 80 nucleotides in length. Their secondary structure includes four short double-helical elements and three loops (D, anti-codon, and T loops). Further hydrogen bonds mediate the characteristic L-shaped molecular structure. tRNAs have two regions of fundamental functional importance: the anti-codon, which is responsible for specific mRNA codon recognition, and the 3' end, to which the tRNAs corresponding amino acid is attached (by aminoacyl-tRNA synthetases). tRNAs cope with the degeneracy of the genetic code in two manners: having more than one tRNA (with a specific anti-codon) for a particular amino acid; and 'wobble' base-pairing, i.e. permitting non-standard base-pairing at the 3rd anti-codon position. The record is from RNAcentral. Lineage: Bacteria; Bacillati; Actinomycetota.